Molecule: ribosomal RNA, 446 nt
Filed under: uncultured organism
Description: partial 16S ribosomal RNA
Rfam family: Bacterial small subunit ribosomal RNA
Source: RNAcentral
ACACUCCUGCGGGAAGCAGCAGUGGGGAAUAUUGGACAAUGGGCGCAAGCCUGAUCCAGCCAUGCCGCGUGAGUGAUGAAGGCCCUAGGGUUGUAAAGCUCUUUCACCGGUGAAGAUAAUGACGGUAACCGGAGAAGAAGCCCCGGCUAACUUCGUGCCAGCAGCCGCGGUAAUACGAAGGGGGCUAGCGUUGUUCGGAUUUACUGGGCGUAAAGCGCACGUAGGCGGACUAUUAAGUCAGGGGUGAAAUCCCGGGGCUCAACCCCGGAACUGCCUUUGAUACUGGUAGUCUUGAGUUCGAGAGAGGUGAGUGGAAUUCCGAGUGUAGAGGUGAAAUUCGUAGAUAUUCGGAGGAACACCAGUGGCGAAGGCGGCUCACUGGCUCGAUACUGACGCUGAGGUGCGAAAGCGUGGGGAGCAAACAGGAUUAGAAACCCUUGUAGUCC